CGCCUCCUGAUGAUGCACGGGCUGCACUGCCUGAUGAUACGCUCGAGCGGCUCUGGAGGAAAAGCCGAUCCGAGGCUGUUGGGCAGGUCACUACGGAAUGUUCUAAGGAUGCAAAUCAGAAACUGUAAUUUCUUGUAAUCAGAUUAGCCAGGAUGAAGAGGAGGAGGAGGACGAGGAAGAGGAUUAAGACACAUUGGCUAGAGUUGUCUGGAAAGAGGAACCUCAGUUGAGAAAAUGCCUCCGUCAGAUUGUCUGUAGCCAGAGAUGGAUGGAUCUAAAAUACAGCACAGACACAACACGACUGAUACAUGUAUGAACUCACAAAGACUGUGGCAGCACAUACAAAACCUACACAGGUUCAAGUCAUAUGGAGUCCCAGCACUGAGAGGAGAAGCAGACACAGGCCCCUGCUGCUAAUCAAGAAAUUACCAGCAAUUGAUACUCACUUGUAAAGGGAAAAAUCAGUUUUCUCUAAGUCUCACUGUGUAUAUUAAUCACACUUCAUGGUAGGCCCUGUGCUCAGGAGUAGUUGGCCAACACAAAAUAAACUCAGUACUAUUUUGCAGACAUUUUGUCUCAUAUACCUUUGUUCAGACUUUUUUUUUCUUAUUGGUCUUUUGUUUGCUUAUUUUGACUUCUAUAUUUGUGGGAUUCUGUAUGUGUGUGUGUGUUUCUUUGUUUCUUUGUUUUAAAUAGAAAAAGAAUAUAAAAUUGAGUAGGUAAGACUAGAAUUUGGGAAAAACUGGGGGAAAGAAAAUGAAAACAUGAAAAAUCCUUUAAAUUUAAAUUAAUUAUAAGGAACAAUAUUUAGGAAUAAAUUUAAUGAAUGAAAAAUGUACUAUAUAGCACUAAUAAAUUUUGUAUCAUAAAAAUAGAGACUGGGUUUUUGAGAUACUUGUAUAUUUUAAAGAGAUUAAAUGUCUCAGGGCUUCUCUUGCUGUGAUAAAAUGCCAUGGCCAAAAGCAAGUUGGGAGAACAGGGUCUAUUCCACUUACUCCUUGUAGUCCAGCUCCUAGAGAAGCUAGGACAGGAAGCUAAGAGGAACCUAUAGGCAGGAGCUGAUGCAGAGGCCACAAGGAACCUGCUUACUGGCCCGCUCAGCCUGCUUUCUUAUAGCAUCCAGGACCGAAGGUCUUUCGGUGGCAGUACACCGUGUGGGCUGGGACCACCCGCUUCAACCACGGGUUAAGAAAAUGCCGCAUAGGCCCGAUGACAAACCUAUCCUGUGGAGGCGUCUUCUCAAGAAACUCUAGCCUCUGUCAAGUUGAAAAAAGAAAACCCGCUGGAU
This is a long non-coding RNA of Meriones unguiculatus (Mongolian gerbil), 1288 nucleotides long. RefSeq lists it as uncharacterized. NCBI's taxonomy places the organism in Eukaryota, Metazoa, Chordata, Mammalia, Rodentia, Muridae. The transcript is spliced from 3 exons. The record is from RefSeq and is a predicted model, not a curated record.